AUUUUAAGAAGGAAAUUGUCUUAAUUAUUUCUUUUCUCUUUAGCACCUGAUCUGAUGGCAGUGGGUUGAAGGUCACCCAAAAGUGUUGCUGUCCACAUUAAUGAAGAACACGUUGAAACCUUUCAUGAAGAUCUCAUUUUUACACUGGACACAUUGGCUUCACCAAAUUUACCCAAGAUAGGUGAUGACCUAAAGGUAUGUUCAUUUUCUCUAUCUGAUAUUUUCUGCCAAAGCUGUUGUUCUAUUUUGCAUUACUUAUUCUUUCUUUUUGGUAUCUACAAAGAUGAUAUGGCAGGUAUGUAGGAUAUUUUGGCAGGAAAUACUAAUGUGGUUUAUUUGAGGUCAGUGCAUGGAAAUACCUGGAUAUGACAUACAGGGCAGAGCUGGGGGUAUAGUUCAUGAAAAAUACUGACUAUAAUAGCGCCUCCUCUUAUCCGUGGGGAUCCGUGGGUAUGUUCCAAACCCCCUGUGGAUGGCUGAAACUGC
RNAcentral lists this long non-coding RNA (486 nucleotides) under Lynx canadensis (Canada lynx). RNAcentral describes it as "lncRNA (ENSLCNG00005005759.1)". Lineage: Eukaryota; Metazoa; Chordata; Mammalia; Carnivora; Felidae. The record is from RNAcentral.